This is a long non-coding RNA of Paramormyrops kingsleyae, 221 nucleotides long. RefSeq lists it as uncharacterized. NCBI's taxonomy places the organism in Eukaryota, Metazoa, Chordata, Actinopteri, Osteoglossiformes, Mormyridae. The record is from RefSeq and is a predicted model, not a curated record.
CUUAUCCUUCUUUCUUAGAUCUCUUGGGAAUAUCUCUGCAACAUAAAACAAAUUGACAGUGAAAAACAACUCGCUCUUGGUCUGUUCCAUGGGAUCGGACGAGUGAUUCUGCUUCUUCAGCGCAAUGCUCACGGACCCCGCCGUGCACAGCAAGAUGACGAGUCCCACCACACUGUGCUUGCGCAGCCCGGUCAUCGCUGCUGAAGAGAUCUUGGAGCUCG